GGAGACGUCGCAUAGCCCGGUCGAGUGCGCCUCACUGCUAAUGAGGUAGGGAUCUUAAAGUCCCUCGGAGGUUCAAAUCCUCUCGUCUCCG
RNAcentral lists this transfer RNA (91 nucleotides) under Microbacteriaceae bacterium. Its description in RNAcentral is "tRNA-Ser". It matches the Rfam family "tRNA". Rfam says of the family: Transfer RNA (tRNA) molecules are approximately 80 nucleotides in length. Their secondary structure includes four short double-helical elements and three loops (D, anti-codon, and T loops). The record is from RNAcentral. RNAcentral also lists the same sequence under 2 other names. Lineage: Bacteria; Bacillati; Actinomycetota; Actinomycetes; Micrococcales; Microbacteriaceae.